Molecule: long non-coding RNA, 366 nt
Organism: Carassius gibelio (silver crucian carp)
Lineage: Eukaryota; Metazoa; Chordata; Actinopteri; Cypriniformes; Cyprinidae
Exons: 2
Source: RefSeq, a predicted model, not a curated record
GUGUUGUCUCAUUCCCUUGCCCCGCCCCCCUUGUUAUCCUAGUCUUGUUGUGAUUGCCGUAUCUGUGCCACCUGUCGUGUCUUAAUUGUUCCCCUAUUUAGAUCUCCUAGUGUGCUCUGUCUUUCGUCGGUUCAUUGUUCUACUUAUGUGUUCCUACAUGUCAUUCUCCUGAGAUACCUUGUCCUAGAAACCCCUCGAAGAAGUCUUUGUCUUGCAGUGAGUGUUUGUUAGUAUUUAGUGUUCAGAGUCUUUGUUUACCUUGUUUAUUGUGUUUUGUAGAAUUCUUUUAUGUUCACCCUAGCCCUUGUUUUCCCCCUCGUGGGUUUUGUUUUUCCCCUUUUUGUAUAAUAAAUCUUGUGUUCAGUA